This 27-nucleotide non-coding RNA is filed under the name Cricetulus griseus (Chinese hamster). Lineage: Eukaryota; Metazoa; Chordata; Mammalia; Rodentia; Cricetidae. The record is from RNAcentral.
UCAAUGUAAAGAACGUGUCUGUCAAAG